Molecule: ribosomal RNA, 383 nt
Filed under: uncultured Methanosaeta sp.
Lineage: Archaea; Methanobacteriati; Methanobacteriota; Methanomicrobia; Methanotrichales; Methanotrichaceae
Description: bacterial SSU rRNA
Rfam family: Archaeal small subunit ribosomal RNA
Source: RNAcentral
GAAAGUACUUUGGCCGGUAUUAGCUGAGAGGGUGGUGCAUGGCCGUCGUCAGUUCGUACUGUGAAGCAUCCUGUUAAGUCAGGCAACGAGCGAGACCCACGCCCACAGUUGCCAGCGUACUCUCUGGAGUGACGGGUACACUGUGGGGACCGCCGCUGCUAAAGCGGAGGAAGGAAUGGGCAACGGUAGGUCAGUAUGCCCCGAAUAUCCCGGGCUACACGCGAGCUAUAAUGGUUGGUACAAUGGGUAUCUACCCCGAAAGGGGACGGGAAUCUCCUAAAACCAAUCUUAGUUCGGAUUGAGGGCUGCAACUCGCCCUCAUGAAGCUGGAAUCCGUAGUAAUCGCGUUUCAACAGAACGCGGUGAAUACGUCCCUGCUCCUU